GAUGAAGAACGUAGCGAAAUGCGAUAAGUAGUGUGAAUUGCAGAAUUCAGUGAAUCAUCGAAUCUUUGAACGCACACUGCGCCCCUUGGUAUUCCAUGGGGCAUGCCUGUUCGAGCGUCAUUUGUACCUUCAAGCUCUGCUUGGUGUUGGGUGUUUGUCUCGCCUCUGCGUGUAGACUCGCCUCAAAACAAUUGGCAGCCGGCGUAUUGAUUUCGGAGCGCAGUACAUCUCGCGCUUUGCACUCAUAACGACGACGUCCAAAAGUACAUUUUUACACUCUUGACCUCGGAUCAGGUAGGGAUACCCGCUGAACUUAAGCAUAUCAAUAAGCGGAGGA
RNAcentral lists this unclassified non-coding RNA (337 nucleotides) under soil metagenome. Its description in RNAcentral is "partial contains 5.8S ribosomal RNA, internal transcribed spacer 2, and large subunit ribosomal RNA". The stretch from base 1 to 120 matches the Rfam family "5.8S ribosomal RNA", at positions 35 to 154 of the family's 154-position model. The record is from RNAcentral.